GCAUAUCAAUAAGCGGAGGAAAAGAAACUAACAAGGAUUCCCCUAGUAACGGCGAGUGAAGCGGGAAGAGCUCAAAUUUGAAAUCUGGUGGCCUCAGGUCAUCCGAGUUGUAAUCUAUAGAAGUGUUUUCCGUGCUGGCUCAUGUACAAGUCCCUUGGAACAGGGCGUCAUAGAGGGUGAGAAUCCCGUCCUUGACAUGAACUACCAGUGCUCUGUGAUACAUUUUCAACGAGUCGAGUUGUUUGGGAAUGCAGCUCAAAAUGGGUGGUAAAUUCCAUCUAAAGCUAAAUAUUGGCGAGAGACCGAUAGCGAACAAGUACCGUGAGGGAAAGAUGAAAAGCACUUUGGAAAGAGAGUUAAACAGUAUGUGAAAUUGUUGAAAGGGAAACGAUUGAAGUCAGUCGUGCUCUUUGGAUUCAGCCGGUUCUGCCGGUGUACUUCCUUUGAGUGGGGUCAACAUCAGUUUUGAUCGCUGGAUAAAGGCUGGAGGAACGUAGUACCCUCGGGUAAACUUAUAGCCUCCUGUCACAUACAGUGGUUGGGACUGAGGAACGCAGCACGCCUUUAUGGCCGGGAUUCGUCCACGUACGUGCUUAGGAUGUUGACAUAAUGGCUUUAAACGACCCGUCUUGAAACACGGACC
Molecule: ribosomal RNA, 643 nt
Filed under: Filobasidium floriforme
Lineage: Eukaryota; Fungi; Basidiomycota; Tremellomycetes; Filobasidiales; Filobasidiaceae
Also listed under: 3 other names
Description: eukaryotic LSU rRNA
Rfam family: Eukaryotic large subunit ribosomal RNA
Source: RNAcentral